Molecule: long non-coding RNA, 607 nt
Organism: Diospyros lotus (date-plum)
Lineage: Eukaryota; Viridiplantae; Streptophyta; Magnoliopsida; Ericales; Ebenaceae
Exons: 2
Source: RefSeq, a predicted model, not a curated record
UUCCUGCAUGUCGGCAUUCAAAAUUAGUGGGUUGUGACACGUUGCUUAUCCUAGCCAUGUGAAUGUAUGAUUGUUUAUUUACUUUUCAGUUUUGAUUUGUGCAAAUAAGAUCAGUUAGAAGCUUGCACAUACCUAACAAAAAACCAAAAAAUAAAAGAAGAAAAAAACACUUGUAGGCUGCCUUGGUUCUACAUAUUUUGGCUGUUGACAUGUGUAACCUUCUUGGCUGUUUCAUGUGUGUGGCCUUCUUGGUUGCAGUUGGUUCCUUACAUUAAUAACCUGAUUUUCCUUUGUACAAUUGUUUUUACAGGGAUUGUUUUGAAUUCUCUCAUUAUCAAAGCAUUCACACUCUUGUAUUGUUGAGAUCUCAAAGUUCGAUCAGGCAGGUUGCUUGUAUGUGCUUUUUAGAAAGUGCAGAUGCUUGUGACUCGGAGAAUACUUGCAGGAUCACUUGUAGCUGGUGGUCCUUUACAGGAUAUUACCAGGAAGAUUGUGUCCUUUACCAUGCCAGGGCCUAGAGCUGUUUGCAUCAUUUCUGCUACAGGUUUAAUUUGAAAUGCUAGACUUAGACAACCUGGUUCUUCUAGGGGCAUAUUGACCAAUGAGG